RNAcentral lists this ribosomal RNA (398 nucleotides) under uncultured bacterium. RNAcentral's name for it is "bacterial SSU rRNA". It matches the Rfam family "Bacterial small subunit ribosomal RNA", at positions 28 to 431 of the family's 1533-position model. The record is from RNAcentral.
GACGAACGCUGGCGGCGUGCUUAACACAUGCAAGUCGAGCGGUAAGGCCCUUUCGGGGGUACACGAGCGGCGAACGGGUGAGUAACACGUGGGUGACCUGCCCUUAGCUCUGGGAUAAGCCUGGGAAACUGGGUCUAAUACCGGAUAUGACUCCAUGACGCAUGUUGUGGGGUGGAAAGCCUUGUGCGGCUAGGGAUGGGCCCGCGGCCUAUCAGCUUGUUGGUGGGGUGAUGGCCACCAAGGCGACGACGGGUAGCCGGCCUGAGAGGGCGACCGGCCACACUGGGACUGAGACACGGCCCAGACUCCUACGGGAGGCAGCAGUGGGGAAUCUUGCGCAAUGGCCGAAAGGCUGACGCAGCGACGCCGCGUGUGGGAGGACGCCUCGGUCGGUAACG